This 497-nucleotide ribosomal RNA is filed under the name uncultured bacterium. Its description in RNAcentral is "partial 16S ribosomal RNA". It matches the Rfam family "Bacterial small subunit ribosomal RNA", at positions 28 to 507 of the family's 1533-position model. The record is from RNAcentral.
GAUGAACGCUGGCGGCGUGCCUAAUACAUGCAAGUCGAGCGAACAGACGAGGAGCUUGCUCCUCUGACGUUAGCGGCGGACGGGUGAGUAACACGUGGAUAACCUACCUAUAAGACUGGGAUAACUUCGGGAAACCGGAUCUAAUACCGGAUAAUAUAUUGAACCGCAUGGUUCAAUAGUGAAAGACGGUUUUGCUGUCACUUAUAGAUGUAUCCGCGCCGCAUUAGCUAGUUGGUAAGGUAACGGCUUACCAAGGCGACGAUGCGUAGCCGACCUGAGAGGGUGAUCGGCCACACUGGAACUGAGACACGGUCCAGACUCCUACGGGAGGCAGCAGUAGGGAAUAUUCCGCAAUGGGCGAAAGCCUGACGGAGCAACGCCGCGUGAGUGAUGAAGGUCUUCGGAUCGUAAAACUCUGUUAUUAGGGAAGAACAAAUGUGUAAGUAACUAUGCACGUCUUGACGGUACCUAAUCAGAAAGCAACGGCUAACUACGUG